RNAcentral lists this ribosomal RNA (252 nucleotides) under uncultured bacterium. RNAcentral describes it as "partial 16S ribosomal RNA". It matches the Rfam family "Bacterial small subunit ribosomal RNA", at positions 525 to 776 of the family's 1533-position model. The record is from RNAcentral.
ACAUAGGGUGCGAGCGUUGUUCGGAAUUACUGGGCGUAAAGGGCGCGCAGGCGGAAUAGUAAGUCGGAGGUGAAAGCCCGGGGCUCAACCCCGGAGGGUCUUUCGAAACUACUAAUCUAGAGAGGGUCAGGGGCCGGCAGAAUUCCUGGUGUAGAGGUGAAAUUCGUAGAUAUCAGGAGGAAUACCGGUGGCGAAGGCGGCCGGCUGGGGCCACUCUGACGCUGAGGCGCGAAAGCGUGGGGAGCAAACAGG